UCCCUUGUGGCUCAGCUGGUAAAGAAUCCGCCUGCAAUGCGGGAGACCUGGGUUCGAUCCCUAGGGUGGGAA
RNAcentral lists this transfer RNA (72 nucleotides) under Bos taurus (domestic cattle). It matches the Rfam family "tRNA". From Rfam's summary of the family: Transfer RNA (tRNA) molecules are approximately 80 nucleotides in length. Their secondary structure includes four short double-helical elements and three loops (D, anti-codon, and T loops). RNAcentral also lists the same sequence under 5 other names. The record is from Rfam by way of RNAcentral. Lineage: Eukaryota; Metazoa; Chordata; Mammalia; Artiodactyla; Bovidae.